GAUGAACGCUGGCGGCGUGCCUAACACAUGCAAGUCGAACGGCGAUUCCGGACGGACGUUUUCGGAUGGAAGCCUGUAAUUCUUGGUGGCGGACGGGUGAGUAACGCGUGGUCAACCUGCCCUAUACAGGGGGAUAGCAGCUGGAAACGGCUGGUAAGACCGCAUAAGUCGGUUAAAUCGCCUGAUUUGAUUGGGCAAUUAGCAAUCAGGUAUAGGAUGGGCCCGCGUCCGAUUAGCCAGUUGGCAGGGUAAAAGCCUACCAAAGCGACGAUCGGUAGCCGGACUGUGAGGUCGGGCGGCGACAUUGGGACUAGGACACGGCCCAAAAUCCUACGGGAGGCAGCAGUGGGGGAUAUUGCAAAAUGGAGGAAACUCUGAUGCAGCGACGCCGCGUAAGUGAAGAAGUAUUUCGGUAUGUAAAGCUCUAUCAGCAGGGAAGAUGAUGACGGUACCUGACUAAGAAGCCCCGGCUAACUACGUG
This 481-nucleotide ribosomal RNA is filed under the name uncultured bacterium. RNAcentral's name for it is "partial 16S ribosomal RNA". It matches the Rfam family "Bacterial small subunit ribosomal RNA", at positions 28 to 507 of the family's 1533-position model. The record is from RNAcentral.